This 1266-nucleotide long non-coding RNA is filed under the name Brassica napus (rape). RNAcentral describes it as "long non-coding RNA (BNAP_LNC011759)". The record is from RNAcentral. Lineage: Eukaryota; Viridiplantae; Streptophyta; Magnoliopsida; Brassicales; Brassicaceae.
CGAUGAUCAAGAAUGAUUUCAUAGACUGGGUUGUAGACGUCGAGGUAAAAGAUCUUGGACCCAAGAUGGGCCAAACUAUUUUGCAUGAGGUCCAAUUCUUUUUGCAAGUAGAAAUUGUAGUUUAUGGCCACGGUGGAGAAACGGUCAAUGCAACGACGGUUGGUCAAAGGUUCGCCGGAGAAAACGGUUAUAACAAUUGGUAAACACCCAAUUGGUGGCAAACCUGCCACCGUUAUUAUCCUUGCUCCUUCAUGCCAUAAAUCCUAACCAUUAUAUAACCAUCAAUAUAAAAGGUAUAUAUCAGAAGGAAUUUUGUAGAAUCAAACUAAACCAGUCGAUGUCCAAAGUCCAAACAAAAACAAAUUGACCCACUAGAAUCGAGCUGAACACUGAUACCAGACCCAUUUUAGUAACUAUGAAAUUUAGUAAUUCGAGCCAAAGCGGAAAGCAUAUAUACCAAGAAGAAUCCGAGAUUCUUCACUUUUAAUGCAAGAGCUCGUCCGCCCGAGUGAUUGCAUGCUGCUUAAUAGUGAUAAUCAGAUGUAUUAACUAUUAACUAAUUAUAAUUUUCAGAAAGAACUGAGAAAGGAAUCAAUAAUUGGUCGGAGUGCCUUAAAGAGAAUAAAGUAAGUCUUCUCACUUGGAUGGAUGGAAUCAAAAAAGACAUAAGCAGAUGUAUUAGGACACACAUAUGACUUUGGAUUGCACAAGACCGAUGCCUCUAAGUAACCAAUUCCACAACAUCCCCUGCUCACUUCUUCAAACCCUAUAACAUACAAAUAUAUAUAAAUAUUGUAUAUAUAUGUUAAAAGAAGAACUCAAUAUUAACAGAAAUUAACGUUAAUUCUUAAAAUUCCUAAACCCUAAAACAAACUUGCAUCAAAAUGAAAACCCAAAACAUAAACUCUUACGCCUGAAAUUUUGAUAGAAAAAUACUAUUUUCAAAUUUCUUAAAAUGCAGUAUAUUUUCUAUCUUGGAUUUAUUUUCUUGUUUAUCCCAAAAACUGUAUCCAGAUUAUGGGUUGAUGUGCUUGCUUACCGAAUCUUCGAUGAUCAAGAAUGAUUUCAUAGACUGGGUUGUAGACGUCGAGGUAAAAGAUCUUGGACCCAAGAUGGGCCAAACUAUUUUGCAUGAGGUCCAAUUCUUUUUGCAAGUAGAAAUUGUAGUUUAUGGCCACGGUGGAGAAACGGUCAAUGCAACGACGGUUGGUCAAAGGUUCGCCGGAGAAAACGGUUAUAACAAUUGGUAAACACCCAAUUGGUGGC